GCAACAGAUUGAGAAGGAGGGAGAAGUCUCCAUUUUCUGGUUCUCUUACCAAAUAGUCCCAACAGUCAGGGCUGGGCCAAAUCAAGCCAGGAGCCAAGAACACCAUCUGGGUAUUCCACAUGGACAGCAGGAACCCAAGCACUUGUGCAAUAUUUUGCUGCUUUCAACGGCACAUUAGCAGAGAGAGGGAUUGGAAGCAGAGCAGCCAGGACUCUAACAAACACUCCGAUGUGAGAUGCUGGUGUCAUAAUUGGCACUGUGACCCACUAUACCACAAACCAGCCCCAAUAUUUGUUCUCCAUUUAAAAUAACUAUAGACAACUUAGAGGAUAUGAAGCAAUUUAUCAUUGUGGCUUUGGUUUGGGCUUCCCUAAUGUUGUUGAACAUCUGUUCAUAUGCUUUCAGUCAUUUGUGUAUUUUCUUUUUAAAAUUGGAUUAUUUAUCUUUUAAAUGCGGGAUUGUAAGUGCUCACUAUAUGUAUUGAAUAUUAUCCCUUUAUCAGAUACGUAAUUGGCAAAUAUUUUAUCCUGUUCUGUGAGUUGUCUUUCCACUUUCUUGUUGGUAUUCUGCAACGUUCACAGGUUUUUAACUUUGUAUGAGAAAACUUAAAAACAAAUAUGCUUUAGUAGGACCAGGAAAAAAGAUCCAAGAUGGCUGAAUGGAGAGAAGACACACUGGUCUCAGCCACAGAAAGAUUCCAGAAAAACAGAGGAAGAACCUUGUUCUAAGGGGACUGCUUAAAUGAAGUUUUCAGUGGAGAAGAGACACAACAGAACAAAGACUCCAUGGAGGACUGGGAAGACAGGUCAUAUUGCCAGUGGUCACUCCUGCAUCUACAUGGCCCGACCCUGGCUGGGCAGCACCAUCUUCCCAGAAGCAAACACUUGGUGGCUGCUUGAGAUACAUGGAUAUCAUUCUAAUUCUGUCGAUAUUGCCUGAUCAUGUAUAAUGAUGAGGACAGGAAGAAAAAAAAUUAUAAUCAUGGAACAAUUGGUAAAACGAGGUCUCAAAGGAUCCCACAGGUAAAUAUUUUUAAACCUCAGGGGGCUGGUUGCUAUCCCAUUGUUUGUUCACUUUUUAAAUAGCAUAGAGAAGAAAGUAAAUGUUCAUGUUAGGGAUAGUAUAGUCUUGAUGUAAACCUGAAAUAACACGAACUUUAAUUUGCAUGAAAUCACAUAUACCGCUGCCACCACAAAAUGUUUAAAACUGUAGGAUAGUUUUAAGUAGACAAUUCAUCAUUCACUAAAAACUGAUGUGGCACCAGAAGAUGGAGUCUAUCUAUAGAAUACAGUGGUAUUUUAAUAUUAGAAGUUAUGUUAGGGGCUGGUGUUGUGCUGGAACAGGUAAAACCUCCACCUGAGACAUCAGCAUUCUAUAUGGGAACAGGUUUGUGUCCCUGUUGCUCCACUUCUGAUCCAUCUGCCUGUUGAUGGCCUAGGAAAGCAGCAGAACAAGGCCCGAACGUCGUGGUCCUUACACCUACAUGGGACGCCUAGAUUAAUCUUCUGGCUUCUGCCUGGCCUGGUGCUGGCUGUUGGGGCCAUCUGGGGAGUGAACCAGUGGUUAGAAGAUCUCCUCUCUCUAUUUUUCUCUCUCUCUGCAACACUUUCAGAAUAAAUACAUGAAUAGGUGUUUUAAAUUAUGCUAA
Molecule: long non-coding RNA, 1648 nt
Organism: Oryctolagus cuniculus (rabbit)
Lineage: Eukaryota; Metazoa; Chordata; Mammalia; Lagomorpha; Leporidae
Source: Ensembl